AUUGAACGCUGGCGGCAGGCUUAACACAUGCAAGUCGAGCGGAGAUGAGGUGCUUGCACCUUAUCUUAGCGGCGGACGGGUGAGUAAUGCUUAGGAAUCUGCCUAUUAGUGGGGGACAACAUUCCGAAAGGAAUGCUAAUACCGCAUACGUCCUACGGGAGAAAGCAGGGGAUCUUCGGACCUUGCGCUAAUAGAUGAGCCUAAGUCGGAUUAGCUAGUUGGUGGGGUAAAGGCCUACCAAGGCGACGAUCUGUAGCGGGUCUGAGAGGAUGGUCCGCCACACUGGGACUGAGACGCGGCCCAGACUCCUACGGGAGGCAGCAGUGGGGAAUAUUGGACAAUGGGGGGAACCCUGAUCCAGCCAUGCCGCGUGUGUGAAGAAGGCCUUAUGGUUGUAAAGCACUUUAAGCGAGGAGGAGGCUACUGAGACUAAUACUCUUGGAUAGUGGACGUUACUCGCAGAAUAAGCACCGGCUAACUCUGUGCCAGCAGCCGCAGUAA
This 501-nucleotide ribosomal RNA is filed under the name uncultured bacterium. RNAcentral's name for it is "partial 16S ribosomal RNA". It matches the Rfam family "Bacterial small subunit ribosomal RNA", at positions 30 to 523 of the family's 1533-position model. The record is from RNAcentral.